This 172-nucleotide ribosomal RNA is filed under the name uncultured bacterium. RNAcentral describes it as "partial 16S ribosomal RNA". It matches the Rfam family "Bacterial small subunit ribosomal RNA", at positions 361 to 525 of the family's 1533-position model. The record is from RNAcentral.
AACUUGGACAAUGGGCGAAAGCCUGAUCCAGCCAUGCCGCGUGUGUGAAGAAGGUCUUCGGAUUGUAAAGCACUUUAAGUUGGGAGGAAGGGCAGUAAAUUAAUACUUUGCUGUUUUGACGUUACCGACAGAAUAAGCACCGGCUAACUCUGUGCCAGCAGCCGCGGUAAUA